GCAUCACAGAUGGAAAUACAGAAAUCACUGUGGUGAUCACAAAAUGAAAAUACUGACAAUAUGUUUGUCUGUGCUAAGUGUGUUGAAUCCUGCUGAUUCUGCUGGUUUGUGAAGAGCUUCAGGCCACGUGAAGCAGUUUGACACACUCUGAAGUUACCUGAAGGGACAUUAGUUAUAUUUUUAAAGAGGGGGGCUGGAGAAAAAUGUAAGAAAAUAUAGCUGGUAGUGUUGGAUGACUUCUGAUUGCUCUGUUCCUAAGCAAAGUGCAAGAUCUGACAAGGAGAUGUUUCUCUUGCUCUUCAGAGGACACUUGCUGACCUGCCCAACUGUGGAUCUCAUUGCUGAAGCUCACCUGAUUCAGUCUCUGACUUUCUCUUUUAAUCUAAAGAGGUCUUACACCUGCUGAAAAUGAUGAAUUUUUACCAUUCAUGGACAGGAGCUCAGCAUAUGGAAGCAGCUGUCACAGGAGAUGACUCUGGAGAAACUCUAUCCAAACAAGAGAAGCAGCAAGGAGGUGACAUUUUGAAGAUAAAUAAGUAAUUAUUUGUGUUGGUUUUGAUGAUGAUGCUUCUUUUGGGGUGUUUGUUUGUUUUUGUUAUUGUAUUGAUGGACAUAUGGUGCAAUUUGUGGACGUUAUCUUCUGCCAAUAGACUUGCACACUGAUGCUAAGAAUAGAUCAGAAUUUCUCCCAGUUCCUGAUUCAAAAAGAAGCGUUACUGUCUAUAACUCAUUCAGCCCCUCAUUCAGAAAAGCCAAUAGGCAUUCUAAAAAUCUUAGUAUGGAUGGACAGUCAUCAAUUAAUUCCCUAGGAAUUCACGCUUAACAAUGACCACAAUCUGCAGCAACCCUACACUGAUCAGGUAUCGUGGAUCCUGAAUGAAAGGGGGUGGUAGAAAUUCACCUGGCAAUCCAUGAAACCAGCCUCUAAAUGCUUGGUGAGCUACUUUGUUUCUUUAGACUGACAUGGAGGGUGGUAUGGAGUAUUAAGGUGCAGAUGAGUCUGUCAUGUGGAAAAUAGUUCUGGUGGUUAAGUAGCCUUUGUACGUUCUUCUCUCCCUAAGACCUUCAGUCUUUUUUCCAUUCAUUUUUUCCUACAUCUGUGUCACUGGUUUAACUGGUUUAUAAGUAGCAAACUUCUUUUGUUGGUAACUGCAGAACAUGAUCUCCAAAUUCCUGUGGAAAGCCAGGCUACCACUUCUCAGGUGGUUUCUUUUGUUGUUGUUGUUGUUGAUUUUUUGUUGUUGUUGAGAGGUUUUUUGAUAUAUCAACACAUUUUCAAACUGUGGGUACAUCCCAUGCUGAACACUCUGCCUCAGAAAUGGGCCUGAUGACAUCUAUUCCUAUUACAGACAUCUUCCUCAUUUUUCUCUACUUUUUUACCUACACCUUGAAGAAUGACAUUAGAAGGUGGGUUUUUUUAACUAUUUCCUUUGCUUCUAUCCCUUAUCACUACAUACAUCAAAAUAAAAUUAAAGUAAAUUAGUAUGUGGUAUUUGCC
RNAcentral lists this long non-coding RNA (1498 nucleotides) under Coturnix japonica (Japanese quail). Its description in RNAcentral is "lncRNA (ENSCJPG00005017741.1)". Lineage: Eukaryota; Metazoa; Chordata; Aves; Galliformes; Phasianidae. The record is from RNAcentral.